This 271-nucleotide ribosomal RNA is filed under the name uncultured archaeon. Its description in RNAcentral is "partial 16S ribosomal RNA". It matches the Rfam family "Archaeal small subunit ribosomal RNA", at positions 477 to 747 of the family's 1478-position model. The record is from RNAcentral.
CAGCGUCACGAGUGGCAACCAUAUUUAUUGGGCCUAAAGCGUCCGUAGCCGGUUUGAUAAGUCUUUUGUGAAAUCGUUGAGCUUAACUUAACGCUGUGCAAGAGAUACUGUCAGACUUGGAAUUGGGAAGAGUCAGAGGUAUUCUGGGGGGAGCGGUAAAAUGCUAUAAUCCUCGGAGGACCACCAGUGGCGAAAGCGUCUGACUAGAACAAAUUCGACGGUGAGGGACGAAAGCCAGGGGAGCGAACCGGAUUAGAUACCCGAGUAGUCC